GCGAGCAGGAUCGUGAGUCAUCGAAAUUUUGAACGCAUAUUGCACUUCCGGGUUAGUCCUGGGAGUAUGCCUGUAUCAGUGUCCGUACACUAAACUUGGCUCCCUUCCUUCCGUGUAGUCGGUGGAUGGGGACGCGCAGAUGUGAAGUGUCUUGCGGCUGGUCUUCGGUCCGGCUGCGAGUCCUUUGAAAUGUACUACACUGUACUUCUCUUUGCUCGAAAAGCGUGACGUUGCUGGUUGUGGAGGCUGCCUGUGUGGCAUGUCGGCGACCGGUUUGUCUGCUGCGGCGUUUAAUGGAGGAGUGUUCGAUUCGCGGUAUGGUUGGCUUCGGCUGAACAGACGCUUAUUGGGUGCUUUUCCUGCUGUGGCUGGAUGGACUGGUGAACCGUAGCUGUGCUAGGCUUGGCGUUUGAACCGGCGGUGUGGUGCGAAGUAGGGUGUCUGUUCCGGCGUAAGCUGGGGUGGACGAGGGUCGAUCCAUUUGGGAAACGUUGUGUGCGCUUCGGCGCGCAUCUCAAUUGGACCUGAUAUCAGGCAAGAUUACCCGCUGAACUUAAGCAUAUCGGAAGGAA
Molecule: ribosomal RNA, 572 nt
Filed under: Phytophthora erythroseptica
Lineage: Eukaryota; Oomycota; Peronosporomycetes; Peronosporales; Peronosporaceae
Description: eukaryotic LSU rRNA
Rfam family: 5.8S ribosomal RNA (bases 1-84)
Source: RNAcentral